UCGUGCUAAGCGGGGAGGUAGCGGUGCCCUGUACUCGCAAUCCGCUAUAGCGAGGCUGAAUCCCUUUCCGAGGUUGCAGUUUCUCAUGGUCUGCCCUGAGUAAGUGGUGUUGACAUCCGGGUUCUGCGCAACGGAAUCCCGUGAACCCUGUCAGGUCCGGAAGGAAGCAGCAGUAAGCGGGUCGUUCCGUGUGCCGCGGAGUUGCCUGGAUCGAGCAAACUGCUCAGGUAACGCUUGAGAAGCUGUGAUCGACGAAAGGUGCACGG
RNAcentral lists this signal recognition particle RNA (266 nucleotides) under Salipaludibacillus agaradhaerens. RNAcentral's name for it is "Bacillus agaradhaerens Bacterial large signal recognition particle RNA". It matches the Rfam family "Bacterial large signal recognition particle RNA". From Rfam's summary of the family: The signal recognition particle (SRP) is a universally conserved ribonucleoprotein involved in the co-translational targeting of proteins to membranes. Archaeal SRP consists of a 7S RNA and homologues of the eukaryotic SRP19 and SRP54 proteins. In most bacteria, the SRP consists of a 4.5S RNA and the Ffh protein (a homologue of the eukaryotic SRP54 protein). RNAcentral also lists the same sequence under 1 other name. Lineage: Bacteria; Bacillati; Bacillota; Bacilli; Caryophanales; Bacillaceae. The record is from Rfam by way of RNAcentral.